ACAGCAGCAGCCGCGGGAAUACGGAGGGUGCAAGCGUUAUCCGGAUUUAUUGGGUUUAAAGGGUCCGUAGGCGGACUUAUAAGUCAGUGGUGAAAGCCUGUCGCUUAACGAUAGAACUGCCAUUGAUACUGUAAGUCUUGAGUAUAUUUGAGGUAGCUGGAAUAAGUAGUGUAGCGGUGAAAUGCAUAGAUAUUACUUAGAACACCAAUUGCGAAGGCAGGUUACCAAGAUAUAACUGACGCUGAGGGACGAAAGCGUGGGUAGCGAACAGGAUUAGAUACCCGGGUAGUCCCUGUCUCUUAUAC
This 305-nucleotide ribosomal RNA is filed under the name uncultured bacterium. RNAcentral's name for it is "partial 16S ribosomal RNA". It matches the Rfam family "Bacterial small subunit ribosomal RNA", at positions 505 to 807 of the family's 1533-position model. The record is from RNAcentral.